This 497-nucleotide ribosomal RNA is filed under the name uncultured bacterium. RNAcentral describes it as "partial 16S ribosomal RNA". It matches the Rfam family "Bacterial small subunit ribosomal RNA", at positions 28 to 507 of the family's 1533-position model. The record is from RNAcentral.
GAUGAACGCUGGCGGCGUGCCUAAUACAUGCAAGUCGAGCGAACAGACGAGGAGCUUGCUCCUCUGACGUUAGCGGCGGACGGGUGAGUAACACGUGGAUAACCUACCUAUAAGACUGGGAUAACUUCGGGAAACCGGAGCUAAUACCGGAUAAUAUAUUGAACCGCAUGGUUCAAUAGUGAAAGACGGUUUUGCUGUCACUUAUAGAUGGAUCCGCGCCGCAUUAGCUAGUUGGUAAGGUAACGGCUUACCAAGGCAACGAUGCGUAGCCGACCUGAGAGGGUGAUCGGCCACACUGGAACUGAGACGGGGUCCAGACUCCUACGGGAGGCAGCAGUAGGGAAUCUUCCGCAAUGGGCGAAAGCUUGACGGAGCAACGCCGCGUGAGUGAUGAAGGUCUUCGGAUCGUAAAACUCUGUUAUUAGGGAAGAACAAAUGUGUAAGUAACUAUGCACGGCUUGACGGUACCUAAUCAGAAAGCCACGGCUAACUACGUG